RNAcentral lists this ribosomal RNA (774 nucleotides) under uncultured Neocallimastigales. Its description in RNAcentral is "partial large subunit ribosomal RNA". It matches the Rfam family "Eukaryotic large subunit ribosomal RNA", at positions 22 to 628 of the family's 3401-position model. The record is from RNAcentral. Lineage: Eukaryota; Fungi; Neocallimastigomycota; Neocallimastigomycetes; Neocallimastigales.
GUACACGCUGUGACUAGCAUAUCAAUAAGCGGAGGAAAAGAAACUAACAAGGAUUCCCCUAGUAACGGCGAGUGAAGCGGGAAGAGCUCAAAUUUGAAAUCUUAAAGGGUUUCCCUUUACGAAUUGUAGUUUAAAGAAGUGUUUUCUGUUGAGGUUUUGGUAAAAGUUCUUUGGAAUAGGACAUCAUAGAGGGUGAGAAUCCCGUAUUUGACCUUUACUUUCAACUUUGUGAUACACUUUCAAAGAGUCGGAUUGUUUGGGAAUGCAGUCCGAAAUGGGUGGUAAAUUUCAUCUAAAGCUAAAUAUUGGCGAGAGACCGAUAGCGAACAAGUACCGUGAGGGAAAGAUGAAAAGAACUUUGAAAAGAGAGUUAAACAGUACGUGAAAUUGUCAAAAGGGAAGCGUUUGACACCAGUGUUGUUUUUCUGAAAAUCAAUUAAAGAACUGUUUAUGCUAAGCUGUUUAGACUUUAUCAGCUAACUGUUUAGUUUUGAGCUUUUCUUUAAUGCACUUUUCAGUUAACAAGUCAACAUCAAUUUCUUUUGCUGUAAAAAAGCUUGAGGAAGGUGGCUUGAGAUUCGUCUUAAGUGUUUAUAGCCUCUUGCCUAUGCAGUCGGAGAGAUUGAGGUCUGCAGCGUAGAUCCUUCGGGGCUAAAUGCAUUUGUGCUAAGUUAUAGCAUUUUAUAGACAACUUGUUGACUAUGAUUUGUCUUGUAGCUUACUCGCUUAUGUUAUUUUACCUACGCUUAGGAUGUUGAGUCGUAGAGCACGCAG